CCUACGGGAGGCAGCAGUGGGGAAUCUUGCGCAAUGGGCGAAAGCCUGACGCAGCAACGCCGCGUGCGGGAAGAAGGCUUUCGGGCUGUAAACCGCUUUCAGCAGGAACGAAAAUGACGGUACCUGCAGAAGAAGGAGCGGCCAACUAUGUGCCAGCAGCCGCGGUGAUACAUAGGCUUCAAGCGUUGUCCGGAUUUAUUGGGCGUAAAGAGUUCGUAGGCGGUCAAGUAAGUCGGGUGUGAAAAUUCUGGGCUCAACCCAGAGACGCCACCCGAUACUGCUUAACUUGAGUUCGAUAGGGGAGUGGGGAAUUCCUAGUGUAGCGGUGAAAUGCGCAGAUAUUAGGAGGAACACCGGUGGCGAAGGCGCCACUCUGGAUCGAUACUGACGCUGAGGAACGAAAGCAUGGGUAGCAAACAGGAUUAGAUACCCUGGUAGUCCAUGCCGUAAACGGUGGGCACUAGGUGUGGGUUUCUAUUAACGAAAUCCGCGCCGUCGCUAACGCAUUAAGUGCCCCGCCUGGGGAGUACGGUCGCAAGCUAAAACUCAAAUGAAAUUGACGG
Molecule: ribosomal RNA, 563 nt
Filed under: uncultured bacterium
Lineage: Bacteria
Description: bacterial SSU rRNA
Rfam family: Bacterial small subunit ribosomal RNA
Source: RNAcentral